GAUGAACGCUGGCGGCGUGCCUAAUACAUGCAAGUCGAGCGAACGGACGAGAACCUUCCUUCUCUGAUGUUAGCCGCAGACGUGUGAGUAACACGUGGAUCCCCUCCCUCUCAGACUGGUAUACCUUCGAGAACCCGGCGCUUAUACCGGAUAAUCUUUUGAAGCACAGGGUUCAAAGGUGAGAGACGGUCUUGCUGUCACUUAUAGAUGGAUCCGCGCUGCUUUAGCUAGUUGGUAAGGUAACGGCUUACCCAGGCAACGAUGCAUAGCCGACCUGAGAGGGUGAUCGGCGACACGGGAAGUGAGACACGCUCCAGAGGACUAAGGGAGGGAGCAGUAGGGAACCGGACGCAAUGGGCGAAAGCCUUACGGAGCAACGCCGCGUGUGAGACGAAGGUGUUGGGAGCGUAAAGCUCUGUUACUAGGUGAGAACAUAUGUGUAAGUAAAUGUGCACAUCGUGACGGUACCUAAACAGAAAGCCACGGCUAACUACGUG
Molecule: ribosomal RNA, 497 nt
Filed under: uncultured bacterium
Lineage: Bacteria
Description: partial 16S ribosomal RNA
Rfam family: Bacterial small subunit ribosomal RNA
Source: RNAcentral